GACGAACGCUGGCGGCGUGCCUAAUACAUGCAAGUCGAACGCACUCUCGUUUAGAUUGAAGGAGCUUGCUCCUGAUUGAUAAACAUUUGAGUGAGUGGCGGACGGGUGAGUAACACGUGGGUAACCUGCCCUAAAGUGGGGGAUAACAUUUGGAAACAGAUGCUAAUACCGCAUAAAACCUAACACCGCAUGGUGUAGGGUUGAAAGAUGGUUUCGGCUAUCACUUUAGGAUGGACCCGCGGUGCAUUAGUUAGUUGGUGAGGUAAAGGCUCACCAAGACCGUGAUGCAUAGCCGACCUGAGAGGGUAAUCGGCCACACUGGGACUGAGACACGGCCCAGACUCCUACGGGAGGCAGCAGUAGGGAAUCUUCCACAAUGGACGAAAGUCUGAUGGAGCAACGCCGCGUGAGUGAAGAAGGUUUUCGGAUCGUAAAACUCUGUUGUUGGAGAA
Molecule: ribosomal RNA, 452 nt
Filed under: uncultured bacterium
Lineage: Bacteria
Description: bacterial SSU rRNA
Rfam family: Bacterial small subunit ribosomal RNA
Source: RNAcentral